AACAAGCCUGCGUUAAGGAUUGUAAUGGCAUCCUUUUUUGAGGUACGAUAAAAAGAUAUAAUGAAAAGCCUGACCCCGA
This 79-nucleotide small RNA is filed under the name Polaribacter sp. KT 15. RNAcentral's name for it is "Flavo-1 RNA". It matches the Rfam family "Flavo-1 RNA". Lineage: Bacteria; Pseudomonadati; Bacteroidota; Flavobacteriia; Flavobacteriales; Flavobacteriaceae. The record is from RNAcentral.